Long non-coding RNA from Eptesicus fuscus (big brown bat), 322 nucleotides. RefSeq lists it as uncharacterized. Lineage: Eukaryota; Metazoa; Chordata; Mammalia; Chiroptera; Vespertilionidae. The record is from RefSeq and is a predicted model, not a curated record. The transcript has 3 exons.
CUAAAACAAAGAUUAAAUGAAGGAAUAAUCCAAACAGGAAAUCAUUAUCACCUACGAGUGCUAUGCCCUCAAGAGUGAUCAUCAAAACUCCAGUCAAAUGAGUGCUGUGCCUGCAGCCCUGUUUGAAGUCAGUCUGGAGAAGAAUCCUGCGCAAUCUGAGCAGUAGCACUAACCAACCCACACAAGAACGGGCAAGUUCCUGCCUUGUCACUGAGCCCAUCUCCUCAUCUGUGAAAGGGGCAUAGGCAACACUGAUUCAGUCACCAAAGAAAAGAGCCAAACCUGAGUGCCACGUCCAUUUCGUUAGCCUGCAGCACAGCAC